CCUACGGGGGGCAGUGGAGUAUAUUGGACAAUGGGCGAAAGCCUGAUCCAGCCAUGCCGCGUGUGUGAAGAAGGCCUUCGGGUUGUAAAGCACUUUCAGUGGGGAAGAAAGCCUUGGGGCUAAUACCCUCGAGGAAGGACAUCACCCACAGAAGAAGCACCGGCUAACUCCGUGCCAGCAGCCGCGGUAAUACGGAGGGUGCGAGCGUUAAUCGGAAUUACUGGGCGUAAAGCGCGCGUAGGCGGUCUGAUAAGCCGGUUGUGAAAGCCCCGGGCUCAACCUGGGAACGGCAUCCGGAACUGUCAGGCUAGAGUGCAGGAGAGGAAGGUAGAAUUCCCGGUGUAGCGGUGAAAUGCGUAGAGAUCGGGAGGAAUACCAGUGGCGAAGGCGGCCUUCUGGACUGACACUGACGCUGAGGUGCGAAAGCGUGGGUAGCAAACAGGAUUAGAUACCCUAGUAGUC
Molecule: ribosomal RNA, 462 nt
Filed under: Vreelandella stevensii
Lineage: Bacteria; Pseudomonadati; Pseudomonadota; Gammaproteobacteria; Oceanospirillales; Halomonadaceae
Description: partial 16S ribosomal RNA
Rfam family: Bacterial small subunit ribosomal RNA
Source: RNAcentral